Molecule: long non-coding RNA, 104 nt
Organism: Rhagoletis zephyria (snowberry fruit fly)
Lineage: Eukaryota; Metazoa; Arthropoda; Insecta; Diptera; Tephritidae
Source: RefSeq, a predicted model, not a curated record
CUUGUGAGCGGUGACCAAGAACUGCCGACCCCCUAAUCCAGGGUGUUAAGCGACACCGUGCCCAUUGGAAGGUUUGCAGCCAGGGGCGGUCAAUUCUCGUCCAA